Molecule: long non-coding RNA, 231 nt
Filed under: Ananas comosus (pineapple)
Lineage: Eukaryota; Viridiplantae; Streptophyta; Magnoliopsida; Poales; Bromeliaceae
Description: long non-coding RNA (ACOM_LNC005427)
Source: RNAcentral
GUUUGGGGUCAUGGUUGCUCCUAGUUGGAGUGUGUGCGAAUUCCCGAGUGAGAAUUUCCCCCAAUGAUGAUUGGGUUUACGAGUGUAAGCGAGAGACGUUGUACGUUGUUGAGACAGAUUUAGGCGGUAACUCCGUCGAGGAGUUUGGCUGGGAUUCACGAACGGAGUAUUCGUGUGAAUUCAUUGCAAGGACGAAUUGGUAUUGGUCGAAGUAAAGUGGUCUCUAGGAGA